AAAAACCCUACACAAGAACCCCUCAUCUUCUUCAACCUGGGAAAACAUUGAAGAUCUAAAAACAUCUAAACUUCACUCAAAACACACAGCCGCCGACCAACUCCACCAUUCUUGCCGCCAGUGAACUCCUCCAAACGACCACCCCUUCAGCCAUCUCCUCACCUGUCGCAGCUUCACUCACACUACACUCACCCGUCUCUCUCACGCCAGAAAACAUACAUAAAACAGCUGCACCCGACCUCAACACCCAAGGACUGCCCUCUCUCUGAAUAAGAUUUUAUAGAUAAAAAAAGAAAAAGAAAAACCUAGGGCCUAAUCUAGACGAAGAGCAGCGACAAUUCCUUCAGCUUAACCUCUAAGUCAUAGCCGUUUCCACCUUCUUCUCCUUUACAAAAAGAAGCAACCAUCCUCACCAACAACACCACCAAGGUUCCGACUCACCCCAGCUCCAAAACACAAAGCCAGCAACACCAAAAACACACAGAGGACGAAACUCGAUCUGGUCGGUCCUGAGUUUGAGUUGAAAAGGUCUGUCAAAGAGAUUCGCGGUCCGAGCUGCUACUACUGUUGCACUUUUGGGUCAGAUUUGGUUUUUCGGGAUUUGCUGUGACUAAAGUCACGUUUAAUACGAAGAAAUCUUUGAUGAGCGGUACAUUCAGUGCUUCUGGGGAAUGAACCGACGGGACGUUUCGAUCACUUCGAAUGCCUACGCCACGAGCAUGACAUCAUCAUGAGAGGUUCGAGAAAAUCAAGGUCAAACGUUUCAUAUCAUUCUAUUCUAAGAAAUGCGGGGACUAUCUGUAUAUGGUCAAAAUCGAGGAGUAUGAUUUUGAAGGUUUAAAUCGGGCCAUAGGCCCAAGUCCGAGACUCGAAAUGGGUGUCGUAUCCGACUAAGAGACAUCUACCUCAGGAAAGCUGAUCGAGUGCCUGGCACGGACUGCAUCAAGGGGUAGCAUUAUCUCGAAAUCAAUCAAGAAAGAGCGGGAAUUUCUCAAGGACACGUGGAUCUGGACAUUAAUUAUAGGAUAAGGGUUGUACGAAGUGGUACAGGUUCGUACUAGGCCGUUAUACACCUGUACCAAUAGAAUUCUUUACCUUUGUGAGCAAGGUACUACUUAGGGGUUUUCUCCUCCUAUAUAAAGGAGACCCCAAUCAUUUUGGUAAGGCAUCAGACCAUUCACUACAAUAGAACAUUUUUAUUCUUCUCUUGUUUAGCGUGCUCUCCAAUUAUUCUUCAGCUUUAUUGUCUUUACUUUAUUGUUCAUACUUUAUUACUCUUAGUUGACCUCGAGGUCCCUGAAUUGUCGAGCUCGAGGCCCACUAUUGUUCCAACAACACUGAUUUGGUUCA
Nicotiana tabacum (common tobacco) is the source of this 1350-nucleotide non-coding RNA. NCBI's taxonomy places the organism in Eukaryota, Viridiplantae, Streptophyta, Magnoliopsida, Solanales, Solanaceae. The record is from RefSeq and is a predicted model, not a curated record.